This 484-nucleotide ribosomal RNA is filed under the name uncultured bacterium. Its description in RNAcentral is "partial 16S ribosomal RNA". It matches the Rfam family "Bacterial small subunit ribosomal RNA", at positions 30 to 507 of the family's 1533-position model. The record is from RNAcentral.
AUUGAACGCUGGCGGCAGGCCUAACACAUGCAAGUCGAGCGGAUGAAGGGAGCUUGCUCCUGGAUUCAGCGGCGGACGGGUGAGUAAUGCCUAGGAAUCUGCCUGGUAGUGGGGGAUAACGUCCGGAAACGGGCGCUAAUACCGCAUACGUCCUGAGGGAGAAAGUGGGGGAUCUUCGGACCUCACGCUAUCAGAUGAGCCUAGGUCGGAUUAGCUAGUUGGUGGGGUAAAGGCCUACCAAGGCGACGAUCCGUAACUGGUCUGAGAGGAUGAUCAGUCACACUGGAACUGAGACACGGUCCAGACUCCUACGGGAGGCAGCAGUGGGGAAUAUUGGACAAUGGGCGAAAGCCUGAUCCAGCCAUGCCGCGUGUGUGAAGAAGGUCUUCGGAUUGUAAAGCACUUUAAGUUGGGAGGAAGGGCAGUAAGUUAAUACCUUGCUGUUUUGACGUUACCAACAGAAUAAGCACCGGCUAACUUCCUG